This 1250-nucleotide long non-coding RNA is filed under the name Mus musculus (house mouse). RNAcentral's name for it is "RIKEN cDNA E130307A14 gene". Lineage: Eukaryota; Metazoa; Chordata; Mammalia; Rodentia; Muridae. The record is from RNAcentral.
GAUAGCAUGGAUAGGCUCAGAGGGGCGCAGGGUUUUGGCGGCUUCCCGAGUUCCCCUCGCCGACCGCCAUGUCACAUCUUACGGAAGAGGCGGGGGCUGCCGCGGAGAGGAUAUUUUUUGUUUUGUUUUGUUUUCACAAGAUAAGAUGUAAGCUACUAUACCAGCACUAUGCCUGCCUACCUGCUGCCACAUUCCUUGUCAUGAUAACCAUGGACUAAGCCUCUGAAACUCAUCCAGGCACUGAAGCUCUGGAAGCCCAGCGAGGACAACUCAGACUCAGGAGACAGAGGACUCUGUAGAAGAGGUGUUCCAGGGCCUGGGUGCCACCAGCCAGCUCCGCUAGAAGAAUGCUGUGAGAACAGGCUGGCACUGAGCUGGAGUGGCCAUCGUCACAAGGCACACAUCCUCAGAUUUUUGGAACAUACUUACAUCUCGAAGAUAGCGCUCCAUCCAUUUAAUGAUAUCAAUACCCCGGAUUCUAUCCUCAAAUAUGUCAAUCUACAAGAAAAGGAUGCGCAAAAGAGCUCUUAAUGAGAGCUUUCUCCGAGUGCAGACCUCAAGAAAACACAAGAUCCUACAUACAUGUGCAACCCUAAAAGUAGUGCUCUCAAUAAGGAGGAACACGUGAGACCAAACAGAGAAGCAAAGAGUGUGGAAUGCAUCAGUUAAAAUCUCAAGAAACCCCGAGGCAGAGGAUUAAGAGAUACUGAAGAGAAGAUGAGUCUGUGUGCAUUUAUCUGUGCUUAGCCUGCUCCGAAUGGGAACUCAGCUCUCAAAUGAAGGUGUGUGUGGUAUGUGAUGGUGGAAGUAACCAGCAGCCAGGCAAAUGGCAGAGCGUGGCCCUUUUCCACCUCCAUGUGUAAUAAUUGCAGGACUCCCUUCCCAGACAAGACUGCUCACUCCUGCAGAAAAUGACCUUGUUCUUGAGAGCUGCUGCUAAUUUACAGUGAGGCACUAGGUUUCUACCCAGUGCCACGUGAGCAACCAAUCCAUCUACCCAGGGGCACGGCACUGACGAGCAGCAUCAUUUAGAAGGAAAGAAGUAUGGGUGGUGUUUGUUGUUUCCUGUGUGUUAAGGAAAAUCCAGUGGCUAGCUCCAUGUUUUGUUCACGUGACUCUCAACCUGGUGUGGCCUGGACUCUAGUCCCUGCCUCAAGGAAAGUCCAGACUGACAUAGAAAAUCCCUGCUCACCAGCCUUGACCUUGGGAGAAAGCCCCUGACCUGUGAGUGGACAGAAGGCCUGGUGGUC